ACGCUGGCGGCGUGCCUAAUACAUGCAAGUAGAACGCUGAAGAGAGGAGCUUGCUCUUCUUGGAUGAGUUGCGAACGGGUGAGUAACGCGUAGGUAACCUGCCUUGUAGCGGGGGAUAACUAUUGGAAACGAUAGCUAAUACCGCAUAACAAUGGAUGACACAUGUCAUUUAUUUGAAAGGGGCAAUUGCUCCACUACAAGAUGGACCUGCGUUGUAUUAGCUAGUAGGUGAGGUAACGGCUCACCUAGGCGACGAUACAUAGCUGACCUGAGAGGGUGAUCGGCCACACUGGGACUGAGACACGGCCCAGACUCCUACGGGAGGCAGCAGUAGGGAAUCUUCGGCAAUGGGGGCAACCCUGACCGAGCAACGCCGCGUGAGUGAAGAAGGUUUUCGGAUCGUAAAGCUCUGUUGUAAGUCAAGAACGAGUGUGAGAGUGGAAAGUUCACACUGUGACGGUAGCUUACCAGAAAGGGACGGCUAACUACGUGCCAGCAGCCGCGGUAAUACGUAGGUCCCGAGCGUUGUCCGGAUUUAUUGGGCGUAAAGCGAGCGCAGGCGGUUUGAUAAGUCUGAAGUUAAAGGCUGUGGCUCAACCAUAGUUCGCUUUGGAAACUGUCAAACUUGAGUGCAGAAGGGGAGAGUGGAAUUCCAUGUGUAGCGGUGAAAUGCGUAGAUAUAUGGAGGAACACCGGUGGCGAAAGCGGCUCUCUGGUCUGUAACUGACGCUGAGGCUCGAAAGCGUGGGGAGCGAACAGGAUUAGAUACCCUGGUAGUCCACGCCGUAAACGAUGAGUGCUAGGUGUUGGAUCCUUUCCGUGAUUCAGUGCCGCAGCUAACGCAUUAAGCACUCCGCCUGGGGAGUACGACCGCAAGGUUGAAACUCAAAGGAAUUGACGGGGGCCCGCAC
Molecule: ribosomal RNA, 911 nt
Filed under: uncultured bacterium
Lineage: Bacteria
Description: bacterial SSU rRNA
Rfam family: Bacterial small subunit ribosomal RNA
Source: RNAcentral